RNAcentral lists this long non-coding RNA (779 nucleotides) under Nicotiana benthamiana. RNAcentral's name for it is "long non-coding RNA (NBEN_LNC039756)". The record is from RNAcentral. Lineage: Eukaryota; Viridiplantae; Streptophyta; Magnoliopsida; Solanales; Solanaceae.
UAAUAUGAAAAGCCUGCGACUCUGUCUAGCUGUUACUCUAGUCUAUGAAGCCUCUAAUGAAGUUCUGAAAACGCUGACUGUCACUGUAAGAUAAUGAUAAUGCCCCGAAAGAACUGGGGAUCACCAAAUAGCUGGUAUGAGAAUCCUAGCGCUCUAAAUUAUCAACCUGUAAAUCAUUACCUGCAUCAUGACAUGCAUGCCUCAAGAAAAAGGGGCAUCAGUAUAUUUGAAUUGCACUGGUAUGUAAAGCAACUGAAAGAAAGAAUUAUAAAACCUGAAACUAAAACUCCAGAAUACCAGAAACAGAAAACCUGCAACUUUUCUAAGUGUAAAAAUAUCCCGAAACCUAUACAGAACUGACUCGAUCCCUCAGGGCUCUAAACCAAACAUGCAUACUAACUCAAAAACAUCAUAUGGACUUACUCGUGCAAUUAAAUAUCCAAAUUGACAUUUUAACAACGAAUUUAGCAUCAAAAUAAAAAAAAUCUCAAGAACACUUAAGUUUCAAAUUUCAUAACCGAGGGUUCGAUUCACGUCAUUUCAAGUCCGUUUCUUAUCAAAAUUUACAAGCUCAACCCAAACACCAUAUAAGACCUGUAUCAAGCUCUGGAACCAAAAUACGAGUCCAAUACCAAAAUAAAAACAAAGACUAUAUCGUAUUGUACUGUAACUUAUAAGUUUACUAAAAUAUCCACAAUUAUUUAAAUAUUAUUUUUAUCAAGAAAUGCGCAUAAAAAUAAUUAAGAAUACCUAUUUCUACCAAUUUAUCACCAAAUAUG